RNAcentral lists this long non-coding RNA (700 nucleotides) under Ananas comosus (pineapple). RNAcentral describes it as "long non-coding RNA (ACOM_LNC030246)". Lineage: Eukaryota; Viridiplantae; Streptophyta; Magnoliopsida; Poales; Bromeliaceae. The record is from RNAcentral.
CCCUGCGGUUUUGUUUUUCUCUUUUUCUUAUCAAUUUCAUUAUUUUUUUCCUUAAAUUAGUAAUAAAGUUAAAAUUAAAAGGUACUAAAGUGAAUAUUUGAUAAAUAUAGAUGGGUAUCUGAAGUUUUUUGUAUAUAAUUUAACGAAAUAUUAACGAAAAAGCUACCGAAAAGAUAAAAACGAAACCACAGGGGGGCAAAUUGAUACACUUUAAACCACAGGGGGGCAAAGUGAAAAACUACGAAACCACAGGGGGGUUUUUGAAGUUUUCCAUUGAUUUUAUCCAACGGUUGAAAAUAAAAAUAUUUUACACUUUUUGUGAUAAUAAUACUUUCGUAUUUUCUUACAGGUAAUAUCCAUCACGCAAUAUUCGCUAUGUACAACGAGUUUAUCAAAAUAUUUUUUUUCUCACACAUAAUAUCCAGCCUAUCAUUCCAUCAUAAUACUUAUUUUUCCUCUCACACAUAAUACUCCCACCUAUUAUCUCAUGACAAUACUUAUCCUUUCUCAUACUUAAUAUCCGCUACUUAAUCGUCUCAUAUAGUCCUAUACGAUAAUGCCAUAUAACUACUAGAUAUUUUUAUUAUUUUUUAAUAUUAGAUAAUAAUUUUAAAUCGUGGGAAAUAUGUUNCACCUAUUAUCUCAUGACAAUACUUAUCCUUUCUCAUACUUAAUAUCCGCUACUUAAUCGUCUCAUAUA